Molecule: small nucleolar RNA, 101 nt
Filed under: Sorghum bicolor (sorghum)
Lineage: Eukaryota; Viridiplantae; Streptophyta; Magnoliopsida; Poales; Poaceae
Description: Plant small nucleolar RNA R71
Rfam family: Plant small nucleolar RNA R71
About the family: R71 is a member of the C/D box family of snoRNAs containing the C (UGAUGA) and D (CUGA) box motifs. Multiple nearly identical copies of this snoRNA have been identified in Arabidopsis, and it is thought to function as a 2'-O-ribose methylation guide for 18S ribosomal RNA.
Source: Rfam by way of RNAcentral
AAGUAACCAUGUGGCCAUUCAAUGGUUUGAAAACGCUCCCAUGCUUCUGAAAUGGUUUCUCUCUUCUGCUGUUGGAAACUGAUAAUAUUUCCUCUCAAGGC